Molecule: ribosomal RNA, 253 nt
Filed under: uncultured bacterium
Lineage: Bacteria
Description: partial 16S ribosomal RNA
Rfam family: Bacterial small subunit ribosomal RNA
Source: RNAcentral
GACAGAGGAGGCGAGCGUUAUCCGGAGUCAUUGGGCGUAAAGGGUACGUAGGCGGCUAGUCAAGUCUGAGGUUAAAGACCACAGCUCAACUGUGGGAAGGCCUUGGAAACUGACUGGCUAGAGUGGGGCAGGGGUUGCGGGAAUUCCCGGUGUAGCGGUGAAAUGCGUAGAUAUCGGGAAGAACACCUGAGGCGAAAGCGCGCAACUGGGCCCUAACUGACGCUGAGGUACGAAAGCUAGGGGAGCGAAUGGG